GGGCCUGUAGCCUAGUUUGGAUACUGCAAAUUCGAAGAAUUUGCCGGAUUUGCCGUAGGGCAAAUAAGGCGACAGCCUUCUAAGCUGUAGAUCCGGGGUUCAAACACUGUUAAUUCCCUAAGGGAAUUAUGGCUUGAAAGUCCUCGCAGGCCCA
This 154-nucleotide transfer RNA is filed under the name Candidatus Woesearchaeota archaeon. RNAcentral describes it as "tRNA-Arg". The record is from RNAcentral. Lineage: Archaea; Nanobdellati; Candidatus Woesearchaeota. RNAcentral also lists the same sequence under 1 other name.